UUGGCUACGCGAGCGCAUGAGUUGUGCUUGACCUGUGACUGCUGAGAGGACCCCCGCCGUUGUGCGGCUGACUCUCUGCGCCUGUGUCUCCUCAAUUGUGGGCUACCUAGCCCUCUACUCGUUUGACGAGUGCUUGCAUGAUGCUACCGGCCUGAUGGAAGUUGCGUUUGAAACAUGUUGCAUUUGUUGUGCUAGCCUAUAUGGCAUGGCACAAUGACUUGACAGUGUCCACGGCGUUGCCUCGUGUAGCCAGCCAUCCAAGCCGGCUUCAUCAAGGCCACCUCGUGUACCCUAUUGGUCUUGGAUGUGGCUGAUGAUAAAGGCCGAAGGCGCUCUUGCGUCGCGUGCCUAGCAAACAUGGUCCCAUUGGAAACAACGACAGCUAGCCCAGCCAAUGCCUUGUGCAGGAGCCGGUGCUGGUUUGUUGGUGAGGACGUGCUACCUGGUUGAUCCUGCCAGUAGUCAUAUGCUU
Molecule: unclassified non-coding RNA, 472 nt
Filed under: Oedochloa camporum
Lineage: Eukaryota; Viridiplantae; Streptophyta; Magnoliopsida; Poales; Poaceae
Description: partial external transcribed spacer
Source: RNAcentral